RNAcentral lists this ribosomal RNA (507 nucleotides) under uncultured bacterium. RNAcentral describes it as "partial 16S ribosomal RNA". It matches the Rfam family "Bacterial small subunit ribosomal RNA", at positions 28 to 523 of the family's 1533-position model. The record is from RNAcentral.
GAUGAACGCUAGCGGCAGGCUUAAUACAUGCAAGUCGAGGGGCAGCGCAGUGUAGCAAUACAUGGACGGCGACCGGCAAACGGGUGCGGAACACGUACACAACCUCCCUCCAAGCGGGGAUUAGCCCAGAGAAAUUUGGAUUAAUACCCCAUAGGAUAGUGGAAAGGCAUCUUUCAGCUAUUAAAGAUUCAUCACUUGGAGAUGGGUGUGCGUAUGAUUAGGUAGUUGGCGGGGUAAGGGCCAACCAAGCCUACGAUCAUUAACUGGUGUGAGAGGACGAUCAGUCACACGGGGACUGAGACACGGGCCAGACUCCUACGGGAGGCGGCAGUAGGGAAUUUUGGACAAUGGGCGAAAGCCUGACCCAGCAAUGCCGCGUGUGUGAAGAAGGCCUUCGGGUUGUAAAGCGCUUUUGUCCGGAAAGAAAUGGCUCUGGUUAAUACCUGGGGUCGAUGACGGUGCCGGAAGAAUAAGGACCGGCUAACUACGUGCCAGCAGCCGCCGCGG